AUGGACAUUAGUCAGGCCUUUAGAAUUUUAUUGGUUCACCCAGCUGAUUUUGACCUUCUGGGAAUUUUCUUUGAUGGGAAAUAUUAUAUUAAUAAAUGUCUGCCUGAAGGCUGUUCUAUAUCAUGUGCCCUCUUUGAAAAAUUUGCCACUUUUUUGCAUAAAACAGUUGCAUUGAAAGCUGGCAUUGAGACUUUAGACCACUAUUUGGAUGACUUUUUCUUUGCUGGUGAAAGUUCAACGGAUAAUUGUACCAUUUUGAUGGACACUUUUAAUGAAGUAUGUAGGCAGCUAGGUGUUCCACUAGCAGAGAAUAAAACAGUAGGUCCUACCACAUGUAUCACAUUUUUAGGCCUUGAAAUUGACACAGUACUUAUGUUGGUUAGAAUCCCCCCUGAAAAACUGGAUAAACUUAAAUUUAUGCUUGAUCAGGUCUUGUCGAAAAAGAAAAUGGCACUGAAGGAACUUGAAUCAAUUACUGGUUUAAUGGCAUUUUGUUCAAGGGCUAUUAUAUCAGCCCGUGCUUUUAUUCGUCGUUUUUACGAUUUGAUAGCUUCAGUUAAGAAUGGAAAGCCUUAUUAUACUGUCAGAUUGAAUUCAGAGGUCAAAGCAGAUGCUAGAGUUUGGCUAAAUUUUCUAGAUCAAUUCAAUGGUCAGUGUUAUUUUCCUGAUAGAUUUUGGUCGACUAAUGAAAGUCUGGAAUUAUUCACUGAUAGUGCAGGUAAUGUUUUAUUAGGUUGUGGAGCUUAUUUUCAAGGUCACUGGGUACAAUACCAGUGGCCAAGUAGUUGGGCUGAUACUAGCAUUUUAUUGGAUAUAACAUGUUUGGAGCUUAUUCCCAUCGUGCUGUCGUUCAUGAUAUGGGGUCGUUCAUUUAGAAAUAAAAAGAUUCUGUUGAGAAUAGAUAAUCAGGCAUUAGUAAGCAUUGUGAACAAAAGAACAUCAAAAUCAAAGAGAGUUAUGAUAUUGAUAAGACAACUAGUUUUUUCUCACUAUGAACAAUAACAUACAAUUUAGGGCACAACAUAUUGAGGGUGAGCAUAAUGCAAUCGCAGAUGCUCUUUCUCGAUUUCAGGAACAACGUUUUAUGGACUUGGUCCCGAAUGCAGACAGUUCUCCAGCAGCAAUCCCACAAGAAUUCCUGUCGAUGAUUUCAGAACUGAAAUGAAUCAUUUACUUAUAAAUUCAUUAGCACCCAGUACACAGAAAGCAUAUUUGCAUAGCAUGGACAUAUUUGUUAAAUUCAGAGAAAAUCAUGGUUUUUCUGAUGUCUGGCCUAUUCCGCUUGAUGACUUGACAUCAUUCAUUGUUUAUAUGUUUAGAAAGAAAUUGUCCCACUCAACAGUAUCUGGCUAUAUUUCAGGCUUAAGUUACUUUAAUAAAAUCAACAAUUUAGAAGACAAUACACAGAAAUUUGUUGUCAGAAAAUUGAUUGAAGGAAUAAAAAGGUUGGGGGGCCCAAAUCAAAAGGACACUAGAUUACCCAUAACGAGAGAUAUAUUGGAAAAAUUAUUGAGGUCACUGGCGGUGAUUUGCAAAAACGGGUAUGAGACAAAACUGUUUAUGGCUUCAUUUUCGCUAGCCUUUCAUGGUUUUAUGAGAGUAGGUGAAAUAACAGUUGAUUGUAAAAAUAAGCAGAUGCAUACUGUAAAAUUUGAAAAUAUAAAGCUUUGUGAUGCAAGAUUAGAGGUUUUAUUGACGUCAUCUAAAACUGAUCAGUUUGGUUCUGGAACAACAAUCGUUAUUUCUAAGCAGAAAAAACAAAAAUGUAUGUCCAGUACAAAUAAUGGCUAAUUUUAUUAAAGUUCGCCCACCUUAUCUGGGACCUUUAUUUUGUCAUUUUGAUGGAUCCCCCCUUACAAGAUACCAGUUUUCAGCAUUAUUAAAAAGGUCUCUGUCAGUAAUUGGUAUAGAAAACAAUGGAUUUAAGUCCCAUUCCUUUAGAAUUGGCAUGGCAACUACAUGCGCAUUAGAAGGUAUUUCUGAUGAACAAAUUAAAGAAAUGGGACGUUGGAAGUCACAGGCCUUUUUGCGUUACAUUAGGAUUUAAAUGCCUGAACAUCAUAUAUGUACAUUUAUUUGUGUAAAUAUGUUUCUAUAUUUGCUUAUUUUGUAAUAUGUUUCUAUAUUUGCUUAUUUUGUAAUGCAGUCUUGAGCUGGCAUUUAAAUAAUAUUGUAUUAUGUAAAUAAAUGGUAUGUCCUGCAUCAAUAUAAGCAAGUAAUAAUUGCUUUCUAAGAAUUGCAGGACAUGCUACAGUUUGGAUCGUUGGAUCCUCGAUUAUUAAGCAUGCCUUUGGGGAAGCCAGAGGAAGACCGGG
This 2315-nucleotide small RNA is filed under the name Mytilus galloprovincialis (Mediterranean mussel). The record is from RNAcentral. Lineage: Eukaryota; Metazoa; Mollusca; Bivalvia; Mytilida; Mytilidae.